AGGGAUGUGCCUCCUACUUACCCAAUUAGUCAGAUUCUCAGUGGCCUCACAAUCAUUCCCUUGCCUCCACAUAGGAUGUUUCCUCACCUAAAUUAUUAGAACCGGUCGUGUACAUCAGGCCUCGCAAAAAUGACUCUGGUUUCUGGUUCUUCUCACAUACCAGAGGAUGAACUUGGCACUUCUUGAAGAGGUUGUAUAACCUUUUCAACCAAGGACAGAAUGGGGAAUAGGAGAGAAACCAGGGUUGUAGUGCCUUCAUGCUGCUGUUAACUUGGGACGUCCAACACUACCAGACUUGACAUUAAUUUGCUACCAUGUGCAUCUCAUGGAAAGGUGGACUCAGAGCACAUAUUGUCAAAACACCCUCCAAAUCUUGGAGAUGGCCUUGUUGUAAUAAUUAUACCAACAAAAGAGGUGGCAAGCAUUUCACCUGAAGCAUUUAAACUGGCCCUGAUGAUAAUCAUUUUGAAACAAUCCAACCAUGACUGGGGAGGGAUUGUCUCCUAGGGUUCAUAGAAUCAGAAUACAAGGACUACUAAGAAGUCCUCCUUACAUAUUAAAAGAUGUCAUGAUUUUCAGCACAGCUUCGCAUCCCUAACUAAUGUUACAAUUCCCUAACAAAUGAUAUGAUACUCAAUCAAAUAAAAUGACUCCCUAACUUCCCCACUCUCUCUUCAACUUGCUGUCUAACACUCACUAACUCCCAGCCUUUUUGAGGAUUUGGAAAUGGGACUGAUAAUAAAUUAACAUCUUUCAUGCAGCUGUACUUCAGGAGGCGUGGGCAGGAGCAAGCAAUGGGCUUGUUCUUACAUUUGGAACUGCGACUUUGGAUACUGGACAGUGGAAACAGACCUUAGUGGGGAUGCCUUUUUCUGAGAUCUGUUCAUAGGGUAGCAUGCAUUACAUGCUGGUAUGUGGGGCAGGGAGCGAGCAGUGACUCUGGGCGGCUUCCAACACUGCCCCAAUAUUUGCCAAACUUACAAGUCCGCUGUUUUCACAGCCCCCCCCUCUAAUUCUCGCCACCUCUUGCUCUCUCGCCUUACUCGCUCAAAGAUCUGCUCUUACCAAAGUUCUCUGGUAUGUCACACAGCAGGCAGGCAUGUCACGAUGGAGGGCGUCACCUUUACCUUGAGCAACCUUGGUCAACAAAGGGCAGUGUUCCUCUUAAUAGUAAGUGGUUUUUAUUGCUUUCAGUGUAUUAAGCUAGCUAGCUUGUUUGUUUGUUUGUUUAACAUCUAGACCAUGGGUAGGCAAACUAAGGCCCGGGGGCUAGAUCCGGCCCAAUUGCCUUCUAAAUCCAGCCUGCGGACAGUCUGGGAAUCAGCAUGUUUUUACAUGAGUAGAAUGUGUGCUUUUAUUUAAAAUGCAUCUCUGGGUUAUUAGUGGGGCAUAGGAAUUUGUUCAUCCCCCCCCCCCAAAAAAAUAUAGUCCAGCCCCCCACAAGGUCUGAGGGACAGGUCCCCUGCUGAAAAAGUCUGCUGACCCCUGAUCUAGACCUCCCCUCAUCCAAUGGAUUUCAGUGCAGUGUCUAAUCGUAACAAUGCAAGCAGGAAACUAGAUGGGUUGAUCGCUUGCGGCUGUAUAAGGCCCUAUUCAAUGCUCUGAGGAGUAGAGAUGCCUGGCAUUAUGGAGUUGGGCUGGGCUGGGGAGAUUCAUCACAGAUGUGAAGGGAGAGAAAUGCGCUCUGUUAAUUUACGAAGCUGGUUCUUGCUUUGGUCAAACUUUAAGAAUGACGUGUUUUUGAAUUUUAAAACUUGCAAGCUUUUAAAGCUCCUGAAUAUAUAUUUCCUUCAAAAUGUCUUGAGUUUCUAUAAAGGGUGUUGCAUCUGUGAGCACUGGAGCAUAUGCACAGCGAGCACAAAAAGACUUGUGUCACAUCCACACCAUACAUUUAAAGCAUGUGUCUUCCCCCAAAGCAUCCUGGGAACUGUAGUUUUACCCUCAGAGCUACAGUUGCAAGGACCCUUAACAAAGUGCAGUUCCCAACAUUAUUAGGGGAAAGCCCUAUGUUUUACAUGUGCUUUAAAUGUAUGAUGCAGAUGUAACCUUACUAUAGCUCUCCUGCAUGCAAGUCUGUUGCCAUUGGUUGCAGGCGCACCAUGCAUUUGAAGCACCUAACUUCCCCGCCAAAGAAUCCUGGGUACUUUAGUUUGCUAAGCAUGCUGGGAAUUGUAGCUGUGAGGGGUAAACCAUGAUUCCCAGCAUUCUUUGGUGGAGGGAGCGAUGUUCUUUAAGUGUAUAGUAUGCGCACAGCCUUUAUGUACAACUCUGAAGAUGCUACUAAAAAGGAAUAGACUAGGAGAAAGAAUAGGUUUGACAGAAGCAGAUGUGUUCAUUAAAUUCUGAAUCUGAGUAUGAAUAAAGCAGGGAGAUGGAGGUUGAUCUUAGAGCAAAAGGGGCAUGUAGAUGGGGGUGGGGAGUGAACUUUCCCCAUGCCUGCUGCUUGUUCCCUUGUAUAACCUCCCACCCUGAAGUGCUUUUCUCCCAGCUGAGCCUGUGUCCUGUGUCAAAGCUUAGCUAAGGAAGAAACCACUUGAAGGAGAAGGUAAAAACUGUGUGCCUAAAAACGAAACAUCUCUCGAUUUCCUUGCUUUCCAUGUGACCUGUGGCUGACCUGGGUUUAAAUAUAAAACUGUUAAUGUUCAGCUUGGUCCUGAAUCAGUGGAAUGAAUUGCUUUCAUUCAGGCAAGCGCCAACCCCCCCCCCCAAUAGCUGUUUGCAGUAGCAAACAAGUGUGUGUGUGUGUGUGUGUGUGUGUGUGCGCACACACACACACACACCUCCAGCAAGACAAGGCAUUGCUCUACUGGUGCUGUGUCAGCCCUUGGGGGACAUGCUGCAUUAAAUAUAAAUUAUGGCUGGUGCACUUUGGAGUGGGGGGGAUGGGGACAAGGCUGUUAUUUUAUUUUGUAUUAUACAAAAAGACCAUUAAUGCUCCUUCUUUCUUUCUCUGCAGCGAGAGGAGAGAGGCUAGAGAGCAGCAUUUCUUCAACCCCACGUGUGUCUGCUAGAAAAAGAUCAUGGCUGAUUAACCAAUCUAGCGGGUACCAUCUGGGGCUACGGUUUUGCCGAGUGUCUCAAUUCCUUCUGCCUGUGCUGCUGGGAGCGCUGUUGAAUAAUCAGCCAGCCACCUGCCCCUCUGUGGUUUUAUUUCCUAUAAAUGCAUAUUUCAUCUCUGCC
Molecule: long non-coding RNA, 3180 nt
Filed under: Podarcis lilfordi (Lilford's wall lizard)
Lineage: Eukaryota; Metazoa; Chordata; Lepidosauria; Squamata; Lacertidae
Source: RNAcentral